RNAcentral lists this non-coding RNA (118 nucleotides) under Rhodococcus rhodnii. Its description in RNAcentral is "SAM-IV sequence". It matches the Rfam family "SAM (S-adenosyl methionine) riboswitch aptamer". From Rfam's summary of the family: SAM-IV is a mRNA element that regulates gene expression via direct sensing of S-adenosylmethionine (SAM or AdoMet). SAM-IV riboswitches share conserved nucleotide positions with the previously described SAM-I riboswitches sequence analysis and molecular recognition experiments suggest that SAM-I and SAM-IV riboswitches share similar ligand binding sites, but have different scaffolds. Lineage: Bacteria; Bacillati; Actinomycetota; Actinomycetes; Mycobacteriales; Nocardiaceae. RNAcentral also lists the same sequence under 1 other name. The record is from RNAcentral.
GGUCAUGAGUGCCAGCACGAAGCCCCGGCUAGCUGGCCGGCAACCCUCCUCCGCGGCGGGGUGCCCCGGGUGAUGACCUGGUUUCCUGAUCAGGCGAGUCGGGCGACAAGCGCGGAUC